AUCCCACCGCUGCCACC
Molecule: microRNA, 17 nt
Filed under: Tursiops truncatus (common bottlenose dolphin)
Lineage: Eukaryota; Metazoa; Chordata; Mammalia; Artiodactyla; Delphinidae
Description: miR-1260
Source: RNAcentral